Molecule: long non-coding RNA, 1112 nt
Organism: Cyprinodon tularosa
Lineage: Eukaryota; Metazoa; Chordata; Actinopteri; Cyprinodontiformes; Cyprinodontidae
Exons: 4
Source: RefSeq, a predicted model, not a curated record
UCCCCCACUAAGAGCUACCAGGCUAGCUCUUUCCUAUAAACGCUAGCUUAGAUAAAGGCUUUAUCUUCAGACAAUUGGUAAAAUAUUAAAGCUGUUCCUUUGACCGUGUGGGGUUAAAGUAGAGCCGACUGGUUUUACCCUAAUUACUGAAUUUAAGAAGCUAAGUUUUGCUGACAAAGCUGAAACAAGUCAGCAGCCAAACACAAAGGGAACUCAACUUGGGGCUAGCAGGAGUUAAUGUCGCUAGCUUGUAUUUUGACAGCUUCAUAACAAGUUUGAUGCAAAUGACACGCUCACGGGUAGGUGGGUUCGCGAGUUUUACUAACUGCCCGUAACACCGCGUGGAUGUCAGGUUAACUGCCGUUACUAUCUUGCCGUAAAUAAAACAUUAGUGGGAGCUUGGGGCCAGAGCUACAGCUACUAGCCAACUAGCAGAGUUAGCUAGCUAGCUAGCCCCGGUUAAAAAGAAAGGAGACCGGCUUACAUGUUCCUCUGAGUUUCUCUCUUUUCUCGAUGACGAGCGCGUCCUGGAGGAGAUGAAGGUGCCGCUCCGUGUCCGGGGGCUCUUCCUCGUCUUCUCCAUGUUUUCUCCUGUGAAGUGUCCUCACUGAAUCUCUGUAACCGGCUCCAAACACCGCUUCAGUGAGCGCAGCAUCGAGGCGCCAUUUCUCCCUGUCUAUCUGCUCCCUCCCAGGCUGCUCUCACUGCUUUGGGCAGGAAAGUUAAAUGUUUGCUGUUGCUUCUUCUUCUUCUUGAGUUUAUUGGCUAUUGGCAAACAACUCUUGGGUGUGCAUUACCUCCACCAACUGAAUAUCCACUAUAUCCAAUUUAACUUUCUCCCAUGUCUCAGCAUCAUGAGAAGGAUUAGGGAAGCAGAAGCCAAGCUGUGUGAGGUUUUUACAUGCAACCAUUUUUUAAAUCCCAGCGCUGCGUAAAAUGCAUAAAUGACCCCUCACACCCCCACUAUGGACUGUUCUCCAUGCUGCCCUCUAGGAGGAGGCUUCGAAGCAUCCGAUGCAGGUCCAGCUGAUUCCCAAACAGCUUCUUCCCCUCAGCCACCAGACUGCUAAUUGUUGAAUAAAAAAAAAAAUAGAAUAAAAGCUGAAUGUGGA